RNAcentral lists this ribosomal RNA (522 nucleotides) under uncultured bacterium. RNAcentral's name for it is "bacterial SSU rRNA". It matches the Rfam family "Bacterial small subunit ribosomal RNA", at positions 777 to 1297 of the family's 1533-position model. The record is from RNAcentral.
AAUAGAUACCCUGGUAGUCCACGCCGUAAACGAUGAGUGCUAAGUGUUGGAGGGUUUCCGCCUUUCAGUGCUGCAGCUAACGCAUUAAGCACUCCGCCUGGGGAGUACGGUCGCAAGACUGAAACUCAAAGGAAUUGACGGGGGCCCGCACAAGCGGUGGAGCAUGUGGUUUAAUUCGAAGCAACGCGAAGAACCUUACCAGGUCUUGACAUCUCCUGACCGCCCUGGAGACAGGGUCUUCCCUUCGGGGACAGGAUGACAGGUGGUGCAUGGUUGUCGUCAGCUCGUGUCGUGAGAUGUUGGGUUAAGUCCCGCAACGAGCGCAACCCUUGGUUCUAGUUGCCAGCAUUCAGUUGGGCACUCUAGAGCGACUGCCGGCGACAAGUCGGAGGAAGGUGGGGAUGACGUCAAAUCAUCAUGCCCCUUAUGACCUGGGCUACACACGUGCUACAAUGGAUGGUACAAAGGGCAGCAAAGCGGCGACGCAUGAGCGAAUCCCAGAAAAACCAUUCUCAGUUCGGU